RNAcentral lists this ribosomal RNA (560 nucleotides) under Trigonopterus lombokensis. Its description in RNAcentral is "partial 16S ribosomal RNA". The record is from RNAcentral. Lineage: Eukaryota; Metazoa; Arthropoda; Insecta; Coleoptera; Curculionidae.
AACCGMCCUGGCUCACACCGGUUUAAACUCAGAUCAUGUAAAAUUUUAAAGGUCGAACAGACCUUCCUUACUAGCUUCUACACCAAUAAUUUAUUUUAAUCCAACAUCGAGGUCGCAAUCUAUUUAAUUGAUAAGAACUCUCUAAAUAAUUACGCUGUUAUCCCUAAGGUAAUUUAAUCUUAUAAUCUACAUUUAGGAUCAUUUAUUUACAAAUCAGUAUAUUUCUAAAAAAAAGUUCUAUUAAUUUUUCUAUCACCCCAACAAAAUAUAUAAAUCAAUUUUUAAAAUACUAAUUCCUUAAAUUAUAAACUUAGUUUAUAUAUAAAACUCUAUAGGGUCUUCUCGUCUUCUAUAUCCAUUUAAGCUUUUUUACUUAAAUAUAAAAUUCUAUUAAAUUUUUUAAGAGACAGAAAUUUUUUCAUUAAACCUUUCAUUCCAGCUUCCAAUUAAAAAACUAAUGAUUAUGCUACCUUUGCACGGUCAAUAUACCGCGGCCAUUCAAUUCAUCAGUGGGCAGGUCAAACUUAUUAUUAUAUUCAACAAGCCAUGUUUUUAAUAAC